Molecule: ribosomal RNA, 274 nt
Filed under: uncultured bacterium
Lineage: Bacteria
Description: partial 16S ribosomal RNA
Rfam family: Bacterial small subunit ribosomal RNA
Source: RNAcentral
AUACGGAGGGUGCGAGCGUUAAUCGGAAUUACUGGGCGUAAAGCGCGCGUAGGCGGUUUGUUAAGUCGGAUGUGAAAUCCCCGGGCUCAACCUGGGACCUGCAUCCGAUACUGGCAGGCUAGAGUCUGGCAGAGGGGGGUAGAAUUCCUGGUGUAGCGGUGAAAUGCGUAGAUAUCAGGAGGAAUACCAGUGGCGAAGGCGGCCCCCUGGACUGAGACUGACGCUGAGGUGCGAAAGCGUGGGGAGCAAACAGGAUUAGAUACCCUAGUAGUCC